GCGUCCACCUCUCCAUUCCACUUCACGGGGCGUUGCAGCUGCAAGGCACACGGACGGUGGUGGGUGCUCACUGUACCUUGGCACAUUCACCAUGGGUGACAUCGACAGCCGGCACGGAUCUCACAUCUGUCCUGCCGUGCCUUGCGCAGCGUGCCCUUCUCUCCGGCCCUGCAUGACAGACUCUCUGACUGGUCACCUUGGAUGAACCUUUGCAAGCUGGGCCAGACUUGCAGUGGAGAGCCAAUGCCUAAAGCAAAAGCCCGAGGGGACCAGCUUCAGAUCCCACUACACAUCUCUGCUCCCUUAGGUGCUGUUACACCCAGAUGAAUUAGGCUCUUAUUUGCUUCAGUAAGCUGAGGGCACAUGCUGGGUUUUACCGAAAGUUGUUCUAUUCAGAAAACACCGACUGGGGACAGGAGGAUCACCAGCUCAUUUCCAGCUGUUGUUGCCCACAUCGUCACAGCAUCUUCACAACAAGUCUUGCUUCUCUGUGGCCUAGAUGUUAUGGAUUCAUUUUCUACUAAACCCAAGACAUAUAGCUAGAGGAUGACCACAGAUCCCCAAACAGGCACAGAACUGUGAGUUCUGAAAUACCUGACUGAUGUGCUAAUGGCAAAGCAGGAGCUGCAGAACAAAUGCAAACCCUGAAGCACCAUCUCAUCCCCUGACUGCUGAGAAACCCCAAACAAGGUGACAUUCCAGCAUCAUCAGGAAUCUUGAUGGUGGAAGGAGGCUGAAAUUCAUGUUCUGCUUGCCAGCAGAGAAGUGAGCUACAAGAUCUGUCACCCGGCUUUAAGAAAGGACCAGAACUAGCCAGCGUGCUUUCUAAAGAUAGGAAGCAGCAGCUUCCCAAGAGCACAAGAGACUUCUCCUUGGGAACAAGGCCCAGCUGAAGAGAUGUGAGAAAAACCUAUAAAGAGAGAGUAAGGGUGAAGUCUAGAAUGAGACUAAGCAGCACAAAGAAGAACCAAAUCCUCCCUCUCCCAGACAGCUGGCAGAGCCCAGCAAGCAGUGCUGUAAGGAGGGCAGCCCAUCCCCCAGCAGCCCUGCUCCUCCUCGCCAUGGCCGGAGGGAAGGAUUUGCACCUACAGCCGUCACUAAUAGUCUUCAUCUGAGAGAGUAAAGAAAACCCACCUGCUACACACUCGUCCAAAUCCUUAUCAAGGCAAAAAGGAGAGCAGCAACAGUGCUGCUGUUUAGACUCUUGAUUGCUCCAGGGCAAGAAGAUGUGUGUGUUGACUGUCCCGUCAAAGCAAUAAAUUAACCACUUACCAUAUGGAUCAGUGUGGAGAAAGAGGGAUAAGUAGUUAUCUUGACAAGAAGUUGCUUCUUCACUGGAUCCUUUCUCUUUUACAGUUUCUAAUGUGAGGAAAGACACGAUGCUUGCAGAGGAAAAGAAGAAGGAUUAAGCCCUUCUGUGGUAGUUAUGUGCUACACUGCUACCUACGUGAGAGGGCUGAACAGCUCAUCGAAGGGGAUGGCUGAUCUCUCUGUGGAGAAGGGAGCACCUCUGAGAAUGUGAUGGUCUGACAUCAAGAUUUAAAAAGGAAGGGACAGAGCUUGCCUUCAAGAGGAAAUCUGAUAUCCACCCUGGCAAGGGAGACAGAGGCCUGCAGAUCUGAGUUCACAGAUCACUGCUACAUGGCACGGCAAGCUUCUCUUUCCUGGAGUCUGAAACUAGUCCUAAAGAUGGCUACACUGAAGAAGGCAGGUAUUAGUUAAUGUCAAAUUACUUUUGACUUCCAUUGAGACUUUUUCCAAACGCUCAGUAAUUCUUCAGGAACUGGUUGGUUCCUCAAUAGGUGCUUUUUAAGGUCUUUAAAGUCCAGCGCUAGGCCCUUCCUUUUUCGUGUAUCUGUCCUCUGACUUUUCAAUAUAACAUCAAAGUCUAGAUGUGUUUAUCAAUAACUGUGUUAACUUCUGUUAAAGAAUACAUAGCUGGAGCUUAAACCCCAAGAGGCUGAAAUUACCUUUCUACAGACUUCCUAGAGGGCUGUUACGCCUAUCCACUAACACAUUCAGCUACCUUCCAUCUUCUGCUGGAAAGCUAUAGUUUUGCCUGUUUCCACAGAACACAGAUUACCCAUUGUAGUCAUGGGAAAAAAUGUGGCUUUAUAUCAACAGGCCUAUGAACGAUUAUAAUUUGCAUUUUUGCUGACUACGUAUCUAAGAGGAAAUAAUCCUGCAAUGUGCUGAAUUUUAAUGGGCUGAUGUUCUGUGCUUUCGUCUCCCGCUGACUUAUCUAAGCUCAAA
Molecule: long non-coding RNA, 2253 nt
Organism: Tyto alba (common barn owl)
Lineage: Eukaryota; Metazoa; Chordata; Aves; Strigiformes; Tytonidae
Exons: 7
Source: RefSeq, a predicted model, not a curated record